AUUGAACGCUGGCGGCAGGCUUAACACAUGCAAGUCGAGCGGUAGCAGGGAGAAAGCUUGCUUUCUCCGCUGACGAGCGGCGGACGGGUGAGUAAUGUCUGGGGAUCUGCCUGAUGGAGGGGGAUAACUACUGGAAACGGUAGUUAAUACCGCAUAACGUCGCAAGACCAAAAUGGGGGACCUUCGGGCCUCAUGCCAUCAGAUGAACCCAGAUGGGAUUAGCUAGUAGGUGAGGUAAUGGCUCACCUAGGCGACGAUCCCUAGCUGGUCUGAGAGGAUGACCAGCCACACUGGAACUGAGACACGGUCCAGACUCCUACAGGAGGCAGCAGUGGGGAAUAUUGCACAAUGGGCGCAAGCCUGAUGCAGCCAUGCCGCGUGUAUGAAGAAGGCCUUCGGGUUGUAAAGUACUUUCAGUAGGGAGGAAGGUGUACGUGUUAAUAGCACGUACAAUUGACGUUACCUACAGAAGAAGCACCGGCUAACUCCGUGCCAGCCGCCGCCGUAA
Molecule: ribosomal RNA, 508 nt
Filed under: uncultured bacterium
Lineage: Bacteria
Description: partial 16S ribosomal RNA
Rfam family: Bacterial small subunit ribosomal RNA
Source: RNAcentral